Molecule: non-coding RNA, 145 nt
Organism: Ciona intestinalis (vase tunicate)
Lineage: Eukaryota; Metazoa; Chordata; Ascidiacea; Phlebobranchia; Cionidae
Source: RefSeq, a predicted model, not a curated record
UGAACCUGUACUUCCAGCAAGUGUUGGGGAAGUAGACAGGCCAAGACCAUGGAAAAUAAGUGAAGCUGAGCAAAUCAACAACACAAUUUGGUGGUAUCGCUACACAGCUGAUCAGAACUUUGUUCGAUAGGUACCGGAAUGACUG